This 469-nucleotide ribosomal RNA is filed under the name uncultured bacterium. Its description in RNAcentral is "partial 16S ribosomal RNA". It matches the Rfam family "Bacterial small subunit ribosomal RNA", at positions 28 to 507 of the family's 1533-position model. The record is from RNAcentral.
GACGAACGCUGGCGGCGUGCUUAACACAUGCAAGUCGAACGGAAAGGCCCUGCUUGCAGGGUACUCGAGUGGGGAACGGGGGAGUAACACGUGGGUGUAAUGUCCUCCACAUCGGGAGAAGACUGCGGAACAGGGGGUAAUAUAGCGGAGAGGCGAUCCUGCGUGAUGGGGGGGGAAAGAAAGUUUUGGCGGUGAGGGGUUGGCUGGCGGCCUAUCAGGUUGUUGGGUGGGUGAUGGCCUAGCCAGGCGUGGGUGGGUGGCCGGCCUGGGUGGGUGGACGGCCCACUUGGGACUGGGGAUCGGCCCCGAACCCUACGGGAGGCAGCAGUGGGGAAUAUUGCACAAUGGGCGCGAGCCUGAUGCAGCGACGCCGCGUGGGGGAUUACGGCCUUCGGGUUGUAAACUCCUUUCGCUAGGGACGAAGCUUUUUGUGACGGUACCUAGAUAAGAAGCACCGGCUAACUACGUG